GGAUAUAGUUCAGUGGUAGAGUGUGUGCCUAGCAUGCAUGAGGUCCUGGGUUCAAUCCCCAGUACAGCCA
This 70-nucleotide transfer RNA is filed under the name Camelus bactrianus (Bactrian camel). It matches the Rfam family "tRNA". From Rfam's summary of the family: Transfer RNA (tRNA) molecules are approximately 80 nucleotides in length. Their secondary structure includes four short double-helical elements and three loops (D, anti-codon, and T loops). RNAcentral also lists the same sequence under 2 other names. Lineage: Eukaryota; Metazoa; Chordata; Mammalia; Artiodactyla; Camelidae. The record is from Rfam by way of RNAcentral.